Non-coding RNA from Paramarasmius palmivorus, 93 nucleotides. The record is from the annotation of a GenBank genome assembly. Lineage: Eukaryota; Fungi; Basidiomycota; Agaricomycetes; Agaricales; Marasmiaceae.
UCCGUUAUGGUGUAGUGGCUAACAUUAUCGCCUCUCAAGGCAGCUCCAUAUGAUGCCUCGCGAUAGCCCAGGGUUCGAUUCCCUGUAACGGAA